CACAAGCGGUGGAGCAUGUGGUUUAAUUCGACGCAACGCGAAGAACCUUACCAGGGCUUGACAUCCCCUGACCGCGUAUGAAAGUACGUUUUCACCCUCGGGUGACAGGGAGACAGGUGGUGCAUGGUUGUCGUCAGCUCGUGUCGUGAGAUGUUGGGUUAAGUCCCGCAACGAGCGCAACCCCUACGUUUAGUUGCUAACGCGUGAAGGCGAGCACUCUAGACGAACUGCCGUUGACAAAACGGAGGAAGUGGGGAUGACGUCAAAUCAUCAUGCCCCUUAUGUUCUGGGCUACACACGUGCUACAAUGGCCGGUACAGACGGACGCAAAGCCGCGAGGUGGAGCAAAUCCUAAAAAGCCGGUCUCAGUUCGGAUUGCAGGCUGCAAUUCGCCUGCAUGAAGUCGGAAUCGCUAGUAAUCGCAGGUCAGCAUACUGCGGUGAAUACGUUCCCGGGCCUU
Molecule: ribosomal RNA, 460 nt
Filed under: uncultured Pelotomaculum sp.
Lineage: Bacteria; Bacillati; Bacillota; Clostridia; Eubacteriales; Desulfotomaculaceae
Description: bacterial SSU rRNA
Rfam family: Bacterial small subunit ribosomal RNA
Source: RNAcentral